This is a long non-coding RNA of Cervus elaphus (red deer), 614 nucleotides long. RefSeq lists it as uncharacterized. The record is from RefSeq and is a predicted model, not a curated record. The transcript is spliced from 4 exons. NCBI's taxonomy places the organism in Eukaryota, Metazoa, Chordata, Mammalia, Artiodactyla, Cervidae.
CCCGGAGCAGAAGCGUCGGAAGGUCCCUGUGUCCCCGCCGAGGACUCUGGACUAGGCACCCCAGGAGCACCUCUGCUUUUCCGACGGCAGGACGCCCACAGAAACCGAGAGGCCUGGUAACUGUGGAACUUUUGCCUGAUGGGUUUGUGGGACCAGCCGAGGCACAUGCCCGAUUGCAACACAGCGUUUGGGAACCGUGCCCUUGCAUGAAAGCUCUGGCCUCUGUGUGCCUACCGAGUCACUUGGCACCAACCACCAUCCACUUGAAACGCACAUUCCCUGCUUGGCGAAUAUUCUCAAAUGCUGAUGGGAUCUUUAAGUCACACAGACCCAGUCCCGCAGCCACACAAAUGCCCCUGGCCAUGCUGACGGCGACACAGCUGUCCUGACGCCUCUGUCCCCGGCGAUGCCAACGAAAUCACGCAGGCCUGAGCCCGACUUCGAGAGGAAAGCUUGCCUCUGGCCGGGGUGGCUGAUAGAAACCAGAGCCUGGGAACGCUGUCCCGCCCAGGUGGCCAGGGCCACGGAACCUUUGAACUGUGGAGAGUCCCUCGGAACGGAGAUGUACGUGCAAAAUACACUCUGGAUUUCAAAGAAUACAAAACCGGGGGUGG